CAUUCGCUUUUUAAACCACCUCAUAACACACUUUUUCUGCUUUCCCUGAAAGAGGGAAGUGAAAGUGUCUUGAAUUAAGAUGUAAAGCAAUUCCUGAGUCCAAUUUCUAAGGUACUGAGCAGUUCAUUGAGGUCAGGGCUGGGUGCCAGAGGGAGGAGGGGUCAGGGCUGGUGAAUGGCAUGAUCUUUCCCUCUCACAUGCCACGGUCCCAUGUUGAAAUGGGCAUAUGCAUUUAGCUUUGCACUCCAUCCUGCCACAGUAUCUCAUAGUGGUUGUUCAAGGCAGCAGAACACUGUAUGAAGUCAUAAUCCAUAAGGAGCUUCUCCAACCCGUGGUCCAUAAUACUGAGCUGACAAGUUACCCAGAUGAAGUAAGGCUUGACUGAGCAAGGCUUAUCUGAGGUAGUGAGACAAAGAGCGGAGUUGAUUCAGCCUACCAUGCUGUGCAGAGACUUCCACAACAAGAUCCUUUCAUUUUCAGAUCCAGAGUGAUAGAUAAUUGCUACCGAGGAGCUUUUCACCACAGCCAAAACUAACCACAACAAGUAAUAAAAAUCCAA
Molecule: non-coding RNA, 559 nt
Organism: Meleagris gallopavo (turkey)
Lineage: Eukaryota; Metazoa; Chordata; Aves; Galliformes; Phasianidae
Source: RefSeq, a predicted model, not a curated record